AGUAAUGCUUGGGAAUCUAGCUUAUGGAGGGGGAUAACUACGGGGAACUGUAGCUAAUACCGCGUAGAAUCGAGAGAUGAAAGUGUGGGACCUUCGGGCCACAUGCCAUAGGAUGAGCCCAAGUGGGAUUAGGUAGUUGGUGAGGUAAAGGCUCACCAAGCCGACGAUCUCUAGCUGGUCUGAGAGGAUGACCAGCCACACUGGGACUGAGACACGGCCCAG
RNAcentral lists this ribosomal RNA (222 nucleotides) under uncultured bacterium. RNAcentral's name for it is "partial 16S ribosomal RNA". It matches the Rfam family "Bacterial small subunit ribosomal RNA", at positions 109 to 334 of the family's 1533-position model. The record is from RNAcentral.